AUUUGAUAGUGCGGGCAACUGGCACACAUUUGUUUGAACCGCUCCCAGUAUUCAUAGAGAGUUUCUCCAUUUGCCUGCCUAACCCCACAUAUUUCCUUCCUAAUGUU
Coffea eugenioides is the source of this 107-nucleotide small nucleolar RNA. NCBI's taxonomy places the organism in Eukaryota, Viridiplantae, Streptophyta, Magnoliopsida, Gentianales, Rubiaceae. The record is from RefSeq and is a predicted model, not a curated record.